RNAcentral lists this ribosomal RNA (495 nucleotides) under uncultured bacterium. RNAcentral's name for it is "partial 16S ribosomal RNA". It matches the Rfam family "Bacterial small subunit ribosomal RNA", at positions 28 to 523 of the family's 1533-position model. The record is from RNAcentral.
GAUGAACGCUAGCGGGAGGCCUAACACAUGCAAGCCGAGCGGUAUUUAUUCUUCGGAAUAGAGAGAGCGGCGUACGGGUGCGGAACACGUGUGCAACCUGCCUUUAUCAGGGGGAUAGCCUUUCGAAAGGAAGAUUAGUACCCCAUAAUAUAUUGAUUGGCAUCAAUUGAUAUUGAAAACUCCGGUGGAUAAAGAUGGGCACGCGCAAGAUUAGAUAGUUGGUGAGGUAACGGCUCACCAAGUCGAUGAUCUUUAGGGGGCCUGAGCGGGUGAUCCCCCACACUGGUACUGAGACACGGACCAGACUCCUACGGGAGGCAGCAGUGAGGAAUAUUGGACAAUGGGUGAGAGCCUGAUCCAGCCAUCCCGCGUGAAGGACGACGGUUCUAUGGAUUGUAAACUUCUUUUAUAUAGGGAUAAACCUACUUACGUGUAAGUAGCUGAAGGUACUAUAUGAAUAAGCACCGGCUAACUCCGUGCCAGCCGCCGCGGUAA